AAGACGAGGAUAACCAUUGGAAACAGUGGCUAAGACUGGAUAGGAAGAAAUAAGGCAUCUUAUUUCUUUUAAAAGACCUAGUAAUAGGUAUACUUUAGGAGGGGCUUGCGCCAUAUUAGUUAGUUGGUAGGGUAAUGGCCUACCAAGACGAUGAUGUGUAGCUGGACUGAGAGGUUGAACAGCCACAUUGGGACUGAGACACGGCCCAAACUCCUACGGGAGGCAGCAGUAGGGAAUUUUCGGCAAUGGAGGAAACUCUGACCGAGCAACGCCGCGUGAACGAUGAAGUACUUUGGUAUGUAAAGUUCUUUUAUCAAGGAAGAAAAGCAAGUGGUGAACCAUUUGUUUGCCGGUACUUGAUGAAUAAGCCCCGGCUAAUUAUGUGCCAGCAGCCGCGGUAAGACAUAAGGGGCAAGUGUUAUCCGGAAUUAUUGGGCGUAAAGGGUGCGUAGGCGGUCUAGUAAGUCAGUGGUGUAAUGGCAACGCUCAACGUUGUCCGGCUAUUGAAACUGCUAAACUUGAGUUAGAUAGAGGCGAGUGGAAUUCCAUGUGUAGCGGUAAAAUGCGUAAAUAUAUGGAGGAACACCAGAGGCGUAGGCGGCUCGCUGGGUCUUAACUGACGCUGAGGCACGAAAGCGUGGGGAGCAAACAGGAUUAGAUACCCUGGUAGUCCACGCCGUAAACGAUGAGUACUAAGUGUCGGGUUAAACCGGUACUGAAGUUAACACAUUAAGUACUCCGCCUGAGUAGUACGUACGCAAGUAUGAAACUUAAAGGAAUUGACGGGACUCCGCACAAGCGGUGGAUCAUGUUGUUUAAUUCGAAGAUACCCGAAAAACCUUACCAGGUCUUGACAUGUUUUUGCGAAACGGUAGUAAUAUCGUGGAGGUUAUCAGAAACACAGGUGGUGCAUGGUUGUCGUCAGCUCGUGUCGUGAGAUGUUAGGUUAAGUCCUAAAACGAGCGAAACCCUUAUCGUUAGUUGCCAGCACGUUAUGGUGGGGACUUUAACGAGACUGCCAGUGAUAAACUGGAGGAAGGUGAGGAUCACGUCAAAUCAGCAUGCCCCUUAUGACCUGGGCUACAAACGUGAUACAAUGGCUGUUACAAAGGGUAGCUGAAACGCAAGUUCUUGGCCAAUCCCCAAAAACAGUCUCAGUCCGGAUUGAAGUCUGCAACUCGACUUCAUGAAGUUGGAAUCGCUAGUAAUCGCGAAUCAGCAUGUCGCGGUGAAUACGUUCUCGGGGUUUGUACACACCGCCCGUCAAACCACGAAAGUUGGCAAUACCCCAAAACGGUAGCCUAACUCGUUUAUCGAGAGGGCGCUGUCUAAGGUAGGGUCGAUGAUUGGGGUUAAGUCGUAACAAGGUAUCC
Molecule: ribosomal RNA, 1373 nt
Filed under: Candidatus Phytoplasma citri
Lineage: Bacteria; Bacillati; Mycoplasmatota; Mollicutes; Acholeplasmatales; Acholeplasmataceae
Description: bacterial SSU rRNA
Rfam family: Bacterial small subunit ribosomal RNA
Source: RNAcentral